GCCUUGGUCGCAUAGUGGUCGAUUGCGCCUGACUUGUAAUCAGGUUCCGAAAGGACACGUGGGUUCGAAUCCCACCUGAGGCU
Molecule: transfer RNA, 83 nt
Filed under: Bacilli bacterium
Lineage: Bacteria; Bacillati; Bacillota; Bacilli
Also listed under: 1 other name
Description: tRNA-Thr
Rfam family: tRNA
About the family: Transfer RNA (tRNA) molecules are approximately 80 nucleotides in length. Their secondary structure includes four short double-helical elements and three loops (D, anti-codon, and T loops).
Source: RNAcentral